This 791-nucleotide ribosomal RNA is filed under the name uncultured bacterium. Its description in RNAcentral is "bacterial SSU rRNA". It matches the Rfam family "Bacterial small subunit ribosomal RNA", at positions 8 to 796 of the family's 1533-position model. The record is from RNAcentral.
AGAGUUUGAUCAUGGCUCAGAUUGAACGCUGGCGGAAUGCUUUACACAUGCAAGUCGAGCGGCAGCAUGGACUUCGGUCUGAUGGCGAGCGGCGAACGGGUGAGUAACACAUCGGAACGUACCCAAUCGUGGGGGAUAACUAUCCGAAAGGAUAGCUAAUACCGCAUAAGUCCUGAGGGAGAAAGCAGGGGAUCGCAAGACCUUGCGCGGAUGGAGCGGCCGAUGUCAGAUUAGCUAGUUGGUGGGGUAAAGGCCUACCAAGGCGACGAUCUGUAGCUGGUCUGAGAGGACGACCAGCCACACUGGAACUGAGACACGGUCCAGACUCCUACGGGAGGCAGCAGUGGGGAAUUUUGGACAAUGGGGGCAACCCUGAUCCAGCCAUUCCGCGUGAGUGAAGAAGGCCUUCGGGUUGUAAAGCUCUUUCGGCAGGGAAGAAACGGCGGGUGCUAAUACCACCCGUUAAUGACGGUACCUGAAGAAGAAGCACCGGCUAACUACGUGCCAGCAGCCGCGGUAAUACGUAGGGUGCGAGCGUUAAUCGGAAUUACUGGGCGUAAAGCGUGCGCAGGCGGUUUUGUAAGACAGGUGUGAAAUCCCCGGGCUUAACCUGGGAACUGCGCUUGUGACUGCAAGACUCGAGUACGGCAGAGGGGGGUGGAAUUCCACGUAGCAGUGAAAUGCGUAGAGAUGUGGAGGAACACCGAUGGCGAAGGCAGCCCCCUGGGUCGAUACUGACGCUCAUGCACGAAAGCGUGGGGAGCAAACAGGAUUAGAUACCCUAGUAGUCC